Molecule: ribosomal RNA, 2754 nt
Filed under: Vibrio cholerae
Lineage: Bacteria; Pseudomonadati; Pseudomonadota; Gammaproteobacteria; Vibrionales; Vibrionaceae
Description: partial 23S ribosomal RNA
Rfam family: Bacterial large subunit ribosomal RNA
Source: RNAcentral
GGUUAAGUGACUAAGCGUACACGGUGGAUGCCUGGGCAGUCAGAGGCGAUGAAGGACGUACUAACUUGCGAUAAGCGCAGAUAAGGCAGUAAGAGCCGUUUGAGUCUGCGAUUUCCGAAUGGGGAAACCCAACUGCAUAAGCAGUUACUGUUAACUGAAUACAUAGGUUAACAGAGCAAACCGGGGGAACUGAAACAUCUAAGUACCCCGAGGAGAAGAAAUCAACCGAGAUUCCGGUAGUAGCGGCGAGCGAACCUGGAUUAGCCCUUAAGCACUCGGUGAAGUAGGUGAACAAGCUGGAAAGCUUGGCGAUACAGGGUGAUAGCCCCGUAACCGACGCUUCAUCGAGCGUGAAAUCGAGUAGGGCGGGACACGUGAUAUCCUGUCUGAAUAUGGGGGGACCAUCCUCCAAGGCUAAAUACUCCUGACUGACCGAUAGUGAACCAGUACCGUGAGGGAAAGGCGAAAAGAACCCCUGUGAGGGGAGUGAAAUAGAACCUGAAACCGUGUACGUACAAGCAGUAGGAGCACCUUCGUGGUGUGACUGCGUACCUUUUGUAUAAUGGGUCAGCGACUUAUAUUCAGUGGCAAGGUUAACCGUAUAGGGGAGCCGUAGCGAAAGCGAGUCUUAACUGGGCGCUCAGUCUCUGGAUAUAGACCCGAAACCGGGUGAUCUAGCCAUGGGCAGGUUGAAGGUUGAGUAACAUCAACUGGAGGACCGAACCGACUAAUGUUGAAAAAUUAGCGGAUGACUUGUGGCUAGGGGUGAAAGGCCAAUCAAACUCGGAGAUAGCUGGUUCUCCCCGAAAGCUAUUUAGGUAGCGCCUCGGACGAAUACUACUGGGGGUAGAGCACUGUUAAGGCUAGGGGGUCAUCCCGACUUACCAACCCUUUGCAAACUCCGAAUACCAGUAAGUACUAUCCGGGAGACACACGGCGGGUGCUAACGUCCGUCGUGGAGAGGGAAACAACCCAGACCGCCAGCUAAGGUCCCAAAGUAUUGCUAAGUGGGAAACGAUGUGGGAAGGCUCAGACAGCUAGGAUGUUGGCUUAGAAGCAGCCAUCAUUUAAAGAAAGCGUAAUAGCUCACUAGUCGAGUCGGCCUGCGCGGAAGAUGUAACGGGGCUAAGCAAUACACCGAAGCUGCGGCAAUGUCUUUUAGACAUUGGGUAGGGGAGCGUUCUGUAAGCCGUUGAAGGUGAAUCGUAAGGUUUGCUGGAGGUAUCAGAAGUGCGAAUGCUGACAUGAGUAACGACAAAGGGGGUGAAAAACCUCCUCGCCGGAAGACCAAGGGUUCCUGUCCAACGUUAAUCGGGGCAGGGUGAGUCGACCCCUAAGGUGAGGCCGAAAGGCGUAAUCGAUGGGAAACGGGUUAAUAUUCCCGUACUUCUGACUAUUGCGAUGGGGGGACGGAGAAGGCUAGGUGGGCCAGGCGACGGUUGUCCUGGUUCAAGUGCGUAGGCUUGAGAGUUAGGUAAAUCCGGCUCUCUUUAAGGCUGAGACACGACGUCGAGCUGCUACGGCAGUGAAGUCAUUGAUGCCAUGCUUCCAGGAAAAGCCUCUAAGCUUCAGAUAGUCAGGAAUCGUACCCCAAACCGACACAGGUGGUCGGGUAGAGAAUACCAAGGCGCUUGAGAGAACUCGGGUGAAGGAACUAGGCAAAAUGGUACCGUAACUUCGGGAGAAGGUACGCUCUUGAUGGUGAAGUCCCUCGCGGAUGGAGCUGACGAGAGUCGCAGAUACCAGGUGGCUGCAACUGUUUAUUAAAAACACAGCACUGUGCAAAAUCGCAAGAUGACGUAUACGGUGUGACGCCUGCCCGGUGCCGGAAGGUUAAUUGAUGGGGUUAGCGCAAGCGAAGCUCUUGAUCGAAGCCCCGGUAAACGGCGGCCGUAACUAUAACGGUCCUAAGGUAGCGAAAUUCCUUGUCGGGUAAGUUCCGACCUGCACGAAUGGCGUAAUGAUGGCCACGCUGUCUCCACCCGAGACUCAGUGAAAUUGAAAUCGCUGUGAAGAUGCAGUGUACCCGCGGCUAGACGGAAAGACCCCGUGAACCUUUACUACAGCUUGGCACUGAACAUUGAACCUACAUGUGUAGGAUAGGUGGGAGGCUAUGAAGACGUGACGCCAGUUGCGUUGGAGCCGUCCUUGAAAUACCACCCUUGUAUGUUUGAUGUUCUAACUUAGACCCAUUAUCUGGGUUGAGGACAGUGCCUGGUGGGUAGUUUGACUGGGGCGGUCUCCUCCCAAAGAGUAACGGAGGAGCACGAAGGUGGGCUAAUCACGGUUGGACAUCGUGAGGUUAGUGCAAUGGCAUAAGCCCGCUUAACUGCGAGAAUGACGGUUCGAGCAGGUGCGAAAGCAGGUCAUAGUGAUCCGGUGGUUCUGUAUGGAAGGGCCAUCGCUCAACGGAUAAAAGGUACUCCGGGGAUAACAGGCUGAUACCGCCCAAGAGUUCAUAUCGACGGCGGUGUUUGGCACCUCGAUGUCGGCUCAUCACAUCCUGGGGCUGAAGUCGGUCCCAAGGGUAUGGCUGUUCGCCAUUUAAAGUGGUACGCGAGCUGGGUUUAGAACGUCGUGAGACAGUUCGGUCCCUAUCUGCCGUGGGCGUUGGAAGAUUGAAGGGGGCUGCUCCUAGUACGAGAGGACCGGAGUGGACGAACCUCUGGUGUUCGGGUUGUGUCGCCAGACGCAUUGCCCGGUAGCUAAGUUCGGAAUUGAUAAGCGCUGAAAGCAUCUAAGCGCGAAGCGAGC